GGCCUAACACAUGCAAGUCGAGGGGUAUAGUUCUUCGGAAUUAGGGACCGGCGCACGGGUGCGUAACGCGUAUGCAAUCUACCUUUUACAGAGGGAUAGCCCAGAGAAAUUUGGAUUAAUACCUCAUAGUAUUAUGAAAUGGCAUCAUUUUAUAAUUAAAGUCACAACGGUAAAAGAUGAGCAUGCGUCCCAUUAGCUAGUUGGUAAGGUAACGGCUUACCAAGGCUACGAUGGGUAGGGGUCCUGAGAGGGAGAUCCCCCACACUGGUGCUGAGACACGGACCAGACUCCUACGGGAGGCAGCAGUGAGGAAUAUUGGACAAUGGGCGCAAGCCUGAUCCAGCCAUGCCGCGUGCAGGAUGACGGUCCUAUGGAUUGUAAACUGCUUUUAUACGAGAAGAAACACUCCUUCGUGAAGGAGCUUGACGGUAUCGUAAGAAUAAGGAUCGG
Molecule: ribosomal RNA, 450 nt
Filed under: uncultured Flavobacteriia bacterium
Lineage: Bacteria; Pseudomonadati; Bacteroidota; Flavobacteriia
Description: bacterial SSU rRNA
Rfam family: Bacterial small subunit ribosomal RNA
Source: RNAcentral